CCCAGACUCCUACGGGAGGCAGCAGUAAGGGAUAUUGGUCAAUGGGGGAAACCCUGAACCAGCAACGCCGCGUGAAGGAAGACGGUUUUCGGAUUGUAAACUUCUGUUCUUAGUGAAGAAUAAUGACGGUAACUAAGGAGCAAGCCACGGCUAACUACGUGCCAGCAGCCGCGGUAAUACGGAGGAUGCGAGCGUUAUCCGGAUUUAUUGGGUUUAAAGGGUGCGCAGGCGGAAGCGCAAGUCAGCGGUAAAAUGGGGGGCCUCAACCUCUCCCCGCCGUUGAAACUGCGUUUCUUGAGUGGGCGAGAAGUACGCGGAAUGCGUGGUGUAGCGGUGAAAUGCAUAGAUAUCACGCAGAACUCCGAUUGCGAAGGCAGCGUACCGGCGCCCAACUGACGCUCAUGCACGAAAGCGUGGGUAUCGAACAGGAUUAGAUACCCUUGUA
This 445-nucleotide ribosomal RNA is filed under the name uncultured bacterium. Its description in RNAcentral is "bacterial SSU rRNA". It matches the Rfam family "Bacterial small subunit ribosomal RNA", at positions 330 to 792 of the family's 1533-position model. The record is from RNAcentral.